GACGAACGCUGGCGGCGUGCUUAACACAUGCCAGUCGACGGAAAGGCCCUGCUUUUGUGGGGUGCUCGAGUGGCGAACGGGUGAGUAACACGUGAGUAACCUGCCCUUGACUUUGGGAUAACUUCAGGAAACUGGGGCUAAUACCGGAUAGGAGCUCCUGCUGCAUGGUGGGGGUUGGAAAGUUUCGGCGGUUGGGGAUGGACUCGCGGCUUAUCAGCUUGUUGGUGGGGUAGUGGCUUACCAAGGCUUUGACGGGUAGCCGGCCUGAGAGGGUGACCGGCCACAUUGGGACUGAGAUACGGCCCAGACUCCUACGGGAGGCAGCAGUGGGGAAUAUUGCACAAUGGGCGGAAGCCUGAUGCAGCAACGCCGCGUGCGGGAUGACGGCCUUCGGGUUGUAAACCGCUUUCGCCUGUGACGAAGCGUGAGUGACGGUAAUGGGUAAAGAAGCACCGGCUAACUACGUG
Molecule: ribosomal RNA, 467 nt
Filed under: uncultured bacterium
Lineage: Bacteria
Description: partial 16S ribosomal RNA
Rfam family: Bacterial small subunit ribosomal RNA
Source: RNAcentral